GCAUAUCAAUAAGCGGAGGAAAAGAAACCAACCGGGAUUGCCUUAGUAACGGCGAGUGAAGCGGCAAAAGCUCAAAUUUGAAAUCUGGUACCUUCGGUGCCCGAGUUGUAAUUUGGAGAGGGCAACUUUGGGGCCGUUCCUUGUCUAUGUUCCUUGGAACAGGACGUCAUAGAGGGUGAGAAUCCCGUGUGGCGAGGAGUGCGGUUCUUUGUAAAGUGCCUUCGAAGAGUCGAGUUGUUUGGGAAUGCAGCUCUAAGUGGGUGGUAAAUUCCAUCUAAAGCUAAAUAUUGGCGAGAGACCGAUAGCGAACAAGUACAGUGAUGGAAAGAUGAAAAGAACUUUGAAAAGAGAGUGAAAAAGUACGUGAAAUUGUUGAAAGGGAAGGGCAUUUGAUCAGACAUGGUGUUUUGUGCCCUCUGCUCCUUGUGGGUAGGGGAAUCUCGCAUUUCACUGGGCCAGCAUCAGUUUUGGUGGCAGGAUAAAUCCAUAGGAAUGUAGCUUGCCUCGGUAAGUAUUAUAGCCUGUGGGAAUACUGCCAGCUGGGACUGAGGACUGCGACGUAAGUCAAGGAUGCUGGCAUAAUGGUUAUAUGCCGCCCGUCUUGAAACACGG
This 612-nucleotide ribosomal RNA is filed under the name Saccharomyces cerevisiae (brewer's yeast). Its description in RNAcentral is "eukaryotic LSU rRNA". It matches the Rfam family "Eukaryotic large subunit ribosomal RNA", at positions 38 to 664 of the family's 3401-position model. The record is from RNAcentral. Lineage: Eukaryota; Fungi; Ascomycota; Saccharomycetes; Saccharomycetales; Saccharomycetaceae.